RNAcentral lists this ribosomal RNA (500 nucleotides) under uncultured Glomeromycotina. Its description in RNAcentral is "partial small subunit ribosomal RNA". It matches the Rfam family "Eukaryotic small subunit ribosomal RNA", at positions 591 to 1092 of the family's 1831-position model. Lineage: Eukaryota; Fungi; Glomeromycota. The record is from RNAcentral.
CCAAUAGCGUAUAUUAAAGUUGUUGCAGUUAAAAAGCUCGUAGUUGAAUUUCGGGGUCAGUAGGUUGGUCGUGCCACUGGUACGUACUGGUCUCACUGAUUCCUCCUUCCUGAUGAACCGUAAUGCCAUUAAUUUGGUGUUGCGGGGAAUCUGGACUGUUACUUUGAAAAAAUUAGAGUGUUUAAAGCAGGCUAACGCUUGAAUACAUUAGCAUGGAAUAAUGAAAUAGGACGUUCGAUCCUAUUUUGUUGGUUUCUAGGAUUGACGUAAUGAUUAAUAGGGAUAGUUGGGGGCAUUAGUAUUCAAUUGUCAGAGGUGAAAUUCUUGGAUUUAUUGAAGACUAACUACUGCGAAAGCAUUUGCCAAGGAUGUUUUCAUUAAUCAAGAACGAAAGUUAGGGGAUCGAAGACGAUCAGAUACCGUCGUAGUCUUAACCAUAAACUAUGCCGACUAGGGAUCGGAGGAUGUUAAUUUUUUAAUGACUCAUUCGGCGCCUUACG